GACGAACGCUGGCGGCGUGCUUAACACAUGCAAGUCGAACGGUAAGGCUCCAGCUUGCUGGGGUACACGAGUGGCGAACGGGUGAGUAACACGUGGGUGACCUGCCCUGCACUUCGGGAUAAGCCUGGGAAACUGGGUCUAAUACCGGAUAGGACCAUGGUGUGGAUACUGUGGGGGAAAGUUUUUUCGGUGUGGGAUGGGCCCGCGGCCUAUCAGCUUGUUGGUGGGGUAGUGGCCUACCAAGGCGGCGACGGGUAGCCGGCCUGAGAGGGUGGACGGCCACAUUGGGACUGAGACACGGCCCAGACUCCUACGGGAGGCAGCAGUGGGGAAUAUUGCACAAUGGGCGGAAGCCUGAUGCAGCGACGCCGCGUGGGGGAUGACGGCCUUCGGGUUGUAAACUCCUUUCACCAUCGACGAAGGGUUUCUGACGGUAGAUGGAAAAGAAGCACCGGCUAACUACGUG
Molecule: ribosomal RNA, 466 nt
Filed under: uncultured bacterium
Lineage: Bacteria
Description: partial 16S ribosomal RNA
Rfam family: Bacterial small subunit ribosomal RNA
Source: RNAcentral